GAAGCGUAGUGGUAUCCUGAGUAGCGCGGGACACGAGGAAUCUUGCGUGAAUCUGCCGGGACCAUCCGGUAAGGCUAAAUACUCCCGAGAGACCGAUAGCGAACCAGUACUGUGAAGGAAAGGUGAAAAGCACUUCGAAUAGAAGAGUGAAAUAGUCCCUGAAACCGUGCGCCUACAAGCGGUCGGAGCUGCUUCAGCAGUGACGGCGUGCCUUUUGCAUAAUGAACCUACGAGUUACUUUUUCCGGCAAGGUUAAGGAUCUUGAGAUCCGCAGCCGAAGCGAAAGCGAGUCUUAACAGGGCGAUUAGUCGGAAGGAGUAGACGCGAAACCAAGUGAUCUACCCUUGGUCAGGUUGAAGGUUAGGUAACACUAACUGGAGGACCGAACCGAUAAGCGUUGAAAAGCUUCCGGAUGAACUGAGGGUGGGGGUGAAAGGCUAAUCAAACUUGGAGAUAGCUCGUACUCCCCGAAAUGCAUUUAGGUGCAGCCUUGGGAAUUACUACUGUGAGGUAGAGCGACUGAUAAGAUGCGAGGGCUUCACCGCCUAUCAAGUCUUGAUAAACUCCGAAUGCGCAGUAGUUCGAUCCCAGGAGUGAGGGCAUGGGUGCUAAGGUCCAUGUCCUAAAGGAGAAGAAUCCGGACCAUCAGCUAAGGUCCCGAAAUAAUUGCUAAGUUGAACUAACGAAGUCAGAUUGCUAAGACAGCUAGGAUGUUGGCUUGGAAGCAGCCAUUCAUUUAAAGAGUGCGUAACAGCUCACUAGUCGAGGAGUUUGGCGUGGAUAAUAAUCGGGCAUUAAGCAAUUUACCGAAGCUAUGGGAUCAGUAAUGAUCGGUAGGGGAGCAUUCCACUCUGCGUCGAAGGUGAAGCGUGAGCUUUGCUGGAGCGUGUGGAAAAGCAAAUGUAGGUAUAAGUAACGAUAAAGGGGGUGAGAAACCCCCUCGCCGAAAGACUAAGGUUUCCUGAUCAACGCUAAUCGGAUCAGGGUUAGUCGGGUCCUAAGGCUCAGCCGAACGGUGAGGCCGAUGGCAGAACAGGUUAAUAUUCCUGUACUACCUUAAGGAGUGACGUGGAGACGGAGCAGUGAUAGCGCCGCGGACUGACGGAAUAGUCCGUUGAAGGGUGUAGAUGUUGAUCUUUGCAGGCAAAUCCACAAAGAGAGUCGAACCUGAUAGUAUACCAAAUUCUUCGGAAUAAGGUAAUAGUGCGUGUAAACAUACUCCCAAGAAAAUCCGCUAAACUUAAUCUUUAAGGUACCCGUACCGCAAACGGACACACGUAGUCGGGUUGAAUAUACUAAGGCGCUUGAGUGAUUCACGGUUAAGGAACUAGGCAAAUUGACCCUGUAACUUCGGGAUAAAGGGUCCCAACGAGAGUUGGGCGCAGAGAAUAGGUCCAGGCAACUGUUUAACAAAAACACAGGGCUGUGCUAAAUUGAAAGAUUACGUAUACAGCCUGACACCUGCCCGGUGCUGGAAGGUUAAGAGGAGAUGUCAUCGCAAGAGAAGCAUUGAAUUGAAGCCCCAGUAAACGGCGGCCGUAACUAUAACGGUCCUAAGGUAGCGAAAUUCCUUGUCGGGUAAGUUCCGACCUGCACGAAUGGUGUAAUGAUCUGGACACUGUCUCAACCGUGAGCUCAGUGAAAUUGUAGUAUCGGUGAAGAUGCCGAUUACCCGCGAUGGGACGAAAAGACCCCGUGAACCUUUACUAUAGCUUAACAUUGAAUUUGGGUAAUUGAUGUGUAGGAUAGGCCGGAGACUUCGAAGCAGGUACGCCAGUAUUUGUGGAGUCGCUGUUGAAAUACGGCCCUUUGAUUAUUUGAGUUCUAACUCGUAGAUGCGAGGACACUGUUUGGUGGGUAGUUUGACUGGGGUGGUCGCCUCCAAAAGUGUAACGGAGGCUUCUAAAGGUGCCCUCAGGACGAUUGGUAACCGUCCGUAGAGUGUAAUGGCAUAAGGGCGCUUGACUGGGAGACAGACAAGUCGAUCAGGUAGGAAACUAGAGCAUAGUGAUCCGGUGUUUCCGCAUGGAAGGGACAUCGCUCAAAGGAUAAAAGGUACUCCGGGGAUAACAGGCUGAUCCCUCCCAAGAGCUCAUAUCGACGGAGGGGUUUGGCACCUCGAUGUCGGCUCGUCACAUCCUGGGGCUGGAGAAGGUCCCAAGGGUUGGGCUGUUCGCCCAUUAAAGUGGCACGCGAGCUGGGUUCAGAACGUCGUGAGACAGUUCGGUCUCUAUCUAUCGUGGGCGUAUGAAAUUUGCGUGGCUCUGACACUAGUACGAGAGGACCGUGUUGGACUGACCGCUGGUUUACCAGUUGUGCCGCCAGGUGCAUCGCUGGGUAUCUAAGUCGGGAUUGGAUAAGUGCUGAAAGCAUCUAAGUACGAAGCCAGCCACAAGAUUAGAUUUCUUAGGGUCGUUAAAGACGAUGACGUUGAUAGGAUGCAGGUGUAAAGGUGGUAACAUCAAAGCCGAGCAUUACUAAUUGCCCGUUCACUUUCUUU
RNAcentral lists this ribosomal RNA (2500 nucleotides) under Bacteroides ovatus. RNAcentral describes it as "partial 23S ribosomal RNA". It matches the Rfam family "Bacterial large subunit ribosomal RNA", at positions 392 to 2925 of the family's 2925-position model. Lineage: Bacteria; Pseudomonadati; Bacteroidota; Bacteroidia; Bacteroidales; Bacteroidaceae. The record is from RNAcentral.